AGGAAUAUAGUUAAAAUAUAACAUUUAUUUUGCUAAUAAAAAUUAUUUAUUUAUUUAUUUAUUCUUA
Molecule: transfer RNA, 67 nt
Filed under: Eupelmus sp. ZJUH_2016012
Lineage: Eukaryota; Metazoa; Arthropoda; Insecta; Hymenoptera; Eupelmidae
Description: tRNA-Ala
Source: RNAcentral